RNAcentral lists this long non-coding RNA (226 nucleotides) under Capsicum annuum. RNAcentral describes it as "long non-coding RNA (CANN_LNC015181)". Lineage: Eukaryota; Viridiplantae; Streptophyta; Magnoliopsida; Solanales; Solanaceae. The record is from RNAcentral.
AUGAGAACUCAAUAAUUCUUCCGUAUUUGAAUUCCUCAUUAAGAGGGCUAAAAGAAGCACCCAAUAAUUCAUGGGUAACAUUCCGAAAUUCUAGAAGUCAUCCAAAAACUCCAAGUUUAAGGUAUGUGAUUUUGAACAAGAACACCCUUUUGUUCUUGUGCCCAAAAGUUUCAUAUUUUCGUAAAGUAUUUCAUAAAUUUCUGAAGAAUUCCUAUCAUGUUACUAU